UACAGAGACUGCAAGCGUUAUUCGGAUUCACUGGGCGUAAAGGGUGCGCAGGCGGUUGGGUGUGUCCGAUGUGAAAUCCCGAGGCUUAACCUCGGAACUGCGUCUGAAACUACUCGACUAGAGUACUGGAGAGGGAAACGGGAUUCACGGUGUAGCAGUGAAAUGCGUAGAUAUCGUGAGGAACACCAGAGGCGAAGGCGGUUUCCUGGACAGUUACUGACGCUCAGGCACGAAAGCAUGGGGAGCAAAAGGG
Molecule: ribosomal RNA, 253 nt
Filed under: uncultured bacterium
Lineage: Bacteria
Description: partial 16S ribosomal RNA
Rfam family: Bacterial small subunit ribosomal RNA
Source: RNAcentral